RNAcentral lists this ribosomal RNA (1184 nucleotides) under Lactobacillaceae bacterium. Its description in RNAcentral is "bacterial SSU rRNA". It matches the Rfam family "Bacterial small subunit ribosomal RNA", at positions 295 to 1470 of the family's 1533-position model. The record is from RNAcentral. Lineage: Bacteria; Bacillati; Bacillota; Bacilli; Lactobacillales; Lactobacillaceae.
AGAGGUUGAUCGGCCCCCUUGGGGCUGAGACCCGGCCCAAACUCCUUCGGGAGGCACCAGUAGGGAAUCUUCCCCAAUGGCCGCAAGUCUGAUGGAGCAACCCCGCGUGAGUGAAGAAGGCUUUCGGGUCGUAAAACUCUGUUGUUGGAGAAGAAUGGUCGGCAGAGUAACUGUUGUCGGCGUGACGGUAUCCAACCAGAAAGCCACGGCUAACUACGUGCCAGCAGCCGCGGUAAUACGUAGGUGGCAAGCGUUAUCCGGAUUUAUUGGGCGUAAAGCGAGCGCAGGCGGUUUUUUAAGUCUGAUGUGAAAGCCCUCGGCUUAACCGAGGAAGCGCAUCGGAAACUGGGAAACUUGAGUGCAGAAGAGGACAGUGGAACUCCAUGUGUAGCGGUGAAAUGCGUAGAUAUAUGGAAGAACACCAGUGGCGAAGGCGGCUGUCUGGUCUGUAACUGACGCUGAGGCUCGAAAGCAUGGGUAGCGAACAGGAUUAGAUACCCUGGUAGUCCAUGCCGUAAACGAUGAAUGCUAGGUGUUGGAGGGUUUCCGCCCUUCAGUGCCGCAGCUAACGCAUUAAGCAUUCCGCCUGGGGAGUACGACCGCAAGGUUGAAACUCAAAGGAAUUGACGGGGGCCCGCACAAGCGGUGGAGCAUGUGGUUUAAUUCGAAGCAACGCGAAGAACCUUACCAGGUCUUGACAUCUUUUGAUCACCUGAGAGAUCAGGUUUCCCCUUCGGGGGCAAAAUGACAGGUGGUGCAUGGUUGUCGUCAGCUCGUGUCGUGAGAUGUUGGGUUAAGUCCCGCAACGAGCGCAACCCUUAUGACUAGUUGCCAGCAUUUAGUUGGGCACUCUAGUAAGACUGCCGGUGACAAACCGGAGGAAGGUGGGGAUGACGUCAAAUCAUCAUGCCCCUUAUGACCUGGGCUACACACGUGCUACAAUGGAUGGUACAACGAGUUGCGAGACCGCGAGGUCAAGCUAAUCUCUUAAAGCCAUUCUCAGUUCGGACUGUAGGCUGCAACUCGCCUACACGAAGUCGGAAUCGCUAGUAAUCGCGGAUCAGCACGCCGCGGUGAAUACGUUCCCGGGCCUUGUACACACCGCCCGUCACACCAUGAGAGUUUGUAACACCCGAAGCCGGUGGCGUAACCCUUUAGGAGCAGCCCCGUCUAAGGAGAACCGA